This 51-nucleotide non-coding RNA is filed under the name Neptuniibacter pectenicola. Its description in RNAcentral is "mini-ykkC RNA motif". It matches the Rfam family "Guanidine-II riboswitch aptamer (mini-ykkC)". Rfam says of the family: Simpler in structure and has fewer highly conserved nucleotide positions than the ykkC-yxkD leader. Despite this each of its two stem-loop structures directly bind free guanidine. Lineage: Bacteria; Pseudomonadati; Pseudomonadota; Gammaproteobacteria; Oceanospirillales; Oceanospirillaceae. The record is from RNAcentral. RNAcentral also lists the same sequence under 1 other name.
GGCUGGGGACGACCCCAAUUAAGCCCUGAGAGUGUUGCUGGGACGACCCAG